AACCUCGAGACACGUUUUCCGUGCGGCGCUAUGGACAAGUUCCUUGGAACAGGACAUCGUAGAGGGUGAAAAUCCCGUACUUGCCAUGGAUGUACCGUGCUUUGCGAUACGUGCUCUAAGAGUCGAGUUGUUUGGGAUUGCAGCUCAAAAUGGGUGGUAGACUCCAUCUAAAGCUAAAUAUCGGGGAGAGACCGAUAGCGAACAAGUACCGUGAGGGAAAGAUGAAAAGCACUUUGGAAAGAGAGUUAAAAGUACGUGAAAUUGUCGAAAGGGAAGCGCUUGAAGUCAGCCAUGCCGCUCAGGACUCAGCCUGGCUUUUGCUUGGUGUAUUUCCUGGGUAGCAAGUCAGCAUUGGUUUGGAUCGUCGGAGAAGCAUAGUCGGAAUGUGGCGCCCUCGGGCGUGUUAUAGCCUUCUAUUGGAUACGACGAUCUAGACCAA
This 439-nucleotide ribosomal RNA is filed under the name Malassezia furfur. RNAcentral describes it as "eukaryotic LSU rRNA". It matches the Rfam family "Eukaryotic large subunit ribosomal RNA", at positions 147 to 589 of the family's 3401-position model. The record is from RNAcentral. Lineage: Eukaryota; Fungi; Basidiomycota; Malasseziomycetes; Malasseziales; Malasseziaceae.